CGCCGCUACUCUGUCGAGGUGAUCCUUAUGUUGCCGCCACCGAAGAAACAACAAAGACACCACCUUCUGGGUGCGGAUGCUGUGGCGCCGUCCCCCCUUUAGGGGACGAGGGGGCGAGGGAGCGGCGUCGACGGAGGACGAGGCGGUUGCGGUGGCGCCGCCUGCUACUCUACGGGACGACCGAGGGUUGCCGCUACAGUUGGAGCUGCCGCGCUCGAAGACGAGCCCCCUGCCGCGCCAAGUCGCUGCUGCUCUAGAAGGAGUGGUUUAGCGGCUGGUUUAGCAGCUCCUCUCGUUCAAGGAGUAGGUGGCGUGGCGGUGGAGGAGACGAGAGCAGGAAGGUCCAGUCCUCUCGUUGUUGCGUGUGCGUCGCGUCUAAACACGCAGAAGAGGUACGUUAGAACAAAUGAAUUAGAAGUCGGACCCGGUAGAGACAGUGGUUGCGGAUGUUGGACCCUUGUACUCGAGACCGCCGUUGUGUUUCUUAAGUCAUUUGAGAUAAAAACGUCUUAACAACAACAGUCAAUUGACUUUGAUGUCGUGUAAGGUUAGUUAACCGACGUCAUUUCUUGACUUCUCUAC
RNAcentral lists this ribosomal RNA (582 nucleotides) under Triticum aestivum (bread wheat). Its description in RNAcentral is "partial small subunit ribosomal RNA". The record is from RNAcentral. Lineage: Eukaryota; Viridiplantae; Streptophyta; Magnoliopsida; Poales; Poaceae.